Molecule: ribosomal RNA, 370 nt
Filed under: uncultured eukaryote
Lineage: Eukaryota
Description: partial 18S ribosomal RNA
Rfam family: Eukaryotic small subunit ribosomal RNA
Source: RNAcentral
CAAUAGCGUAUAUUAAAGUUGUUGCAGUUAAAAAGCUCGUAGUUGGACCUUGGACCUGGACAGGCGGUCCGCCUCACGGCGUGUACUGUCUUGCUGGGUCUUUCCUCUUGGUGAUCUGUUGUUUCGGCAGCAGGGAACCAGGACUUUUACUUUGAAAAAAUUAGAGUGUUCAAAGCAGGCUCGACGCCGGAAUAUAUUAGCAUGGAAUAAUAAAAUAGGACGUGCGGUCCUAUUUUGUUGGUUUUUGGAAUCGCCGUAAUGAUUAAUAGGGACAGUCGGGGGCAUUAGUACUCACAUGCUAGAGGUGAAAUUCUUGGAUUUUGUGAAGACUAACUUCUGCGAAAGCAUUUGCCAAGGAUGUUUUCAUUAA